GCCAGGUGUGGUGGCUCGCACCAGUAAUCCCAGCGUUUUGGGAGGCUGAGGUGGGGGAUUGCUUGAGCCUAGGAGUUCAAGACCAGCCUGGGCAACAUAGUGAGACCCCCAUCUCUCAAAAAAUAAAAAUAAAAAUAAGGGCCGGGCACAGUGGUUCACACUUGUAGUCCCAGCACUUUGGGAGGCUGUGGCAGGAGGAUCACUUGAGCCCAGGAGUUUGAGACCAGCCUGGGCAACAUAGUGAGACCCCAUCUCU
RNAcentral lists this small RNA (256 nucleotides) under Pan troglodytes (chimpanzee). RNAcentral's name for it is "Metazoan signal recognition particle RNA (ENSPTRG00000049261.1)". The record is from RNAcentral. Lineage: Eukaryota; Metazoa; Chordata; Mammalia; Primates; Hominidae.